Molecule: small nuclear RNA, 107 nt
Organism: Vulpes vulpes (red fox)
Lineage: Eukaryota; Metazoa; Chordata; Mammalia; Carnivora; Canidae
Source: Ensembl
AUGCUCACUUCAGCAGCACACAGACUAACACUGGAAUGACACAGAGAAGAUUAACAUGGCCCCUGCUCAAGGAGGACAUGCAGAUUCGUAAAGUGCUCCGUAGUUCA